This is a long non-coding RNA of Ctenopharyngodon idella (grass carp), 1550 nucleotides long. RefSeq lists it as uncharacterized. The record is from RefSeq and is a predicted model, not a curated record. NCBI's taxonomy places the organism in Eukaryota, Metazoa, Chordata, Actinopteri, Cypriniformes, Xenocyprididae. The transcript is spliced from 3 exons.
CGAGAAGACACAAACUCCGUAAAAAAAUUUUGGAGGAAAAGGCCAAAUUUAGUGCAGCUGUAGAUGAGUACAACAGGGAAGCACCUGAAAAGCUGCAGUCAGCUGACACAGUUCUGGCAUCUGAGAGCUACGCAUGGCCAUGGGUACUGGAUGAGCAUGAUAAUCUUGUCACCAAAAAAAGGGCCUUUGACCAACUGAUGCUGCUGAAGCGCCUUAACGAAGAGGAGUGCAUUGUCCUGAAUGAAAUCAGGAAUCACUGGAAAAGCCUCAAAAGGGAUCUAUCUCUUCUAAAUGACCUUUCAUGUCAUGUUGCUGUUGAUAUAAAAAAGAACAAACAUGACUCUGGACUUUCCAAAAGUGGAAUUCUGGGACUUCACGCUCUACUACUACCUAAAAAGUCACAUAUCCUCGGUUCAGCAGCUGUAUGGUAGUGUCCUAGACAAUUGUGAGGUGUGUAAGAAACUGCAAGAUGAUGAUUACCUUGACAUGGAUGAGGAUUAUAUCCAGUAUGGUUCAGAGGAUGAGGAGGAGGAUGAAGAUGAAGUUUCAUUUGAAAUUUAAAAACUUUGUAAAUCAUUACUGUGGAAAAACUGAGCAACAUACACUAAAUACUCAUUUAAUUUCCAUUAAAUCUUAACUGUCUAUAUUACUUGAUAAAACACUGACAAGGUGUUGUGUAAAUGUGUAAUCCUACUGUUAAAUUCUUGUUUUUAUAUUAAAUUUCAUAAUUUACAUGGUAAAAAUUACACUGUAAAACAUUACUUGCACUCACUAUUAUUUAUUGUAAAAUAGCUUCUUGAUGUAACAAACCUGUAAUAUUCAUGACUAUCUGUACAUUGUUUUACCAAAAUGUACCAAAAUCAUGACAAAUUCAGACAGAGAACCUGCCAACCAAUUUUUAUUGUUUUCAGUAUGAGUGUGCUGCAGAUUUUAUGUAAUGGGGUAGAUGUUUGCAGUGACCUGUCCAAUAAAUGUGCUAAACUGCUUUGCUCUAGAGCUGAUAUGUAACUAAAAUGCCUACCUAGGUCCUUUUUCAUCCUUGCCCUAAUAGACUGAUUGACAACUGGUUAAUCUGAUUUAUAGCCCAUUUCAGCUGAGUACUAUUGGAUUUGUGUGUAAUGAUUCAAACUCAGGAUCUUAUUUCAGGCUUAAGACUGUUUUAAGAAGCUUACAUGUGCCACAUCUUUUUAAAAGCCUAAAAACAGCUCAAACAUGCAUUUUAGUCCAGGACUAUCUUAAGCCUUGUCUGUGAAACCGGGGGUAAAUGUUUAUGUAUUUAAUAUGUGUAAUUAAUUAAUAUAUUUAAAAAAUAUUACUUAACCCCAUGGUGUAUGCAAUGGAUGGAAACCAUUUGGCCCUUGCUUGGAAGAGCCUAACUUAAAGCCUAUUUCUACAUCAGGUUAACCACACAAAGGAAUCUAUCGUUUAAAAAUGCUAGUUUACGUUUAAUGGGAAAUUAUAAAUGUAUAAAACAUAACCAAAUAUUUGUUUAUAGGAGUCUUAUGCAUUCAUCUCAUUAAUAAAUUCGCCAUAUAAAACCGGAAGAUUCU